This 253-nucleotide ribosomal RNA is filed under the name uncultured bacterium. Its description in RNAcentral is "partial 16S ribosomal RNA". It matches the Rfam family "Bacterial small subunit ribosomal RNA", at positions 524 to 776 of the family's 1533-position model. The record is from RNAcentral.
UACGAAGGGGGCGAGCGUUGUUCGGAGUUACUGGGCGUAAAGGGCGCGUAGGCGGCGAUCCAAGUUAGGCGUGAAAGCCCCGGGCUCAACCUGGGAAUAGCGCUUAAGACUGGGUUGCUCGAGUGCGGGAGAGGUGAGUGGAAUUCCCAGUGUAGAGGUGGAAUGCGCAGAUAUCAGGAGGAACACCAACGGCGAAGGCAGCUCGCUGGGACGGUACUGACGCUGAGGCGCGAAAGCGUGGGGAGCGAACAGG